UCUUUGAAACUUGCAUAACUUUGAGUCUGCAUUUAUUUUAGUUAUCCAAUCAAUUGAAACAGGUGCCAGUGUCAUUAGAUUGAGAAUUCGUUGAUAUGGUUGGUGCUUGAUCCACUUUGUCAUCGAUGUUCAGGAAUCGUAUCACAUUCAAAUCAUUCGAUCAAGAAGCAUAUAUUUUAUGAACUCUUAAUUUUACAGCGUCAAACUUCACAUGAUAAGCAGUGCAAAUUGAUUGCACUGGAGGGAGGUCGCCCUGGCAAUAGGAUCUUCCUGGCAAAAUCUGUAUCAGAAAAGUUAUUGUUUCUUUUAGUACUGGUUGCUGCAACAGUUAAAGCAUUUUGAAACCAGGUUUGAGUUUUCUCAAAGUACAUUGGCAAGAAGAAAUUACUCAAGACUUAACCGUACCUUACUUGAUGGAGCAAAUGCUGCAGUCCUGCCCUUGUGCUACUGUCAAUUCCUGGCACGAUUGGAUCGCUGAAGACGAUGAGUUCUGCUGCCGGAGCUUAAGAAUGAUGUACAGAGCUGCGUUGCCUCUUAUGGUGCAAAUCUAUCCCCUAGCCGGCACACAAGAAUUGGUACCUACCUUUGUCAUUUCGAGCAAAGCAAGGAAUCUCAGGUUACUUCCGUGCACACAAGGAGGAAGAUCUCCUUAGAUCCCUUUCGUCUGCGUUAUUGCUUUGAUGCAUUGUUUUCUCGCACAUUUGAUAUGUAUUGGCUGCUAGCUGGUUGUCUUUCAGUAGGGAAUGGAUUUGAUAGGAACACCUUCGAAAUAGCAGAAUAGUGAGAACUUCGAUCUUUUUUCUUUUAUUGUUCUUCGAAAAAGUAAGAGAGCUGCACACCUUUGCGCUUAGAAGACAAAAAGAGAAAACAGACACAACGAUCUACCGGUUAGCAACGCCAAAAGAACUCUGUAGAAAGACAGAACAAAAGCUGCUUCAAUCUUGAAUCUUGAACGAGGUUUUGCAGCGGAUUCUCCUGAAAAGUAUGUGAGCAAGUCGAGUAAUUGUUUCAUUCAGGAUCGGGGUACAUCUGAGCGUUGACUCCAAGCGAGAGGGAAAAGAAGAGCAGGCAUGUCCGCAUGUGUAGGCUGCUUGUCAGAGGCUCAAGCUCGCUGCUGUGCCUGCUGUCGACGGCCGAAGUGGAGAUCAGCGGUGAUUCGUAGCGUGCUUGUCUCUGGUGGUUAGGCUCCAGCAGGGCAACUCCGACGCGGUGUCGCGCGGCGCACUCGGCCAAGUCGCAUAGGCGAGAAAACGGCGGCGCUCUGGCGGUUUGCGCGGGGUACUGGACGGACCCGUCCGGCAGCUUCGACUCCCUGGCACGCGUGGCACA
Molecule: long non-coding RNA, 1329 nt
Organism: Phragmites australis (common reed)
Lineage: Eukaryota; Viridiplantae; Streptophyta; Magnoliopsida; Poales; Poaceae
Exons: 4
Source: RefSeq, a predicted model, not a curated record